GGCCUUAGCUCAGUUGGUAGAGCGCUGCCUUUGCAAGGCAGAUGUCAGGAGUUCGAAUCUCCUAGGCUCC
RNAcentral lists this transfer RNA (70 nucleotides) under Rhodococcus erythropolis. It matches the Rfam family "tRNA". Rfam says of the family: Transfer RNA (tRNA) molecules are approximately 80 nucleotides in length. Their secondary structure includes four short double-helical elements and three loops (D, anti-codon, and T loops). The record is from RNAcentral. Lineage: Bacteria; Bacillati; Actinomycetota; Actinomycetes; Mycobacteriales; Nocardiaceae. RNAcentral also lists the same sequence under 11 other names.